Daphnia magna is the source of this 444-nucleotide long non-coding RNA. RefSeq lists it as uncharacterized. NCBI's taxonomy places the organism in Eukaryota, Metazoa, Arthropoda, Branchiopoda, Diplostraca, Daphniidae. The record is from RefSeq and is a predicted model, not a curated record. The transcript has 3 exons.
CCUGUCCAAUGUCAAAGUGUAUUCCACUGGUGUGAUUCUGAUAGGAGCUAAAGCCAUUAAGAUUAUUACUACGUCAAACAUAGCAAACAGUUUUGCUAUGAAAUGGCCACAACACUUUGACAAAUUACAAAACUGUAGGGUUCAAACAGGUUCUGCCGUAAACCAGCCAACAACAAUUACAACUGAAGAUAAUCCAGAUAGGCAAAAUAUAUCACCAGCAUCAAGCUCAAGUCCAGACAUUUCUGUACCACCUGAGAGUACACCACUAAACAAUGCAGAAGAGCAACAUUUUGACAGGAUGCAAAGUAAUCCUCGUUGAAGUUACUCCUUCUGAAAACCAGCCGGCAGCAAUUUUUUCUUAUAGAUACUGCAGCUGUUAAAGUCUAACACCAACAAGCUUGACUUCAACUGUAACAGUAUAGCUGUAUUUGUAGGCAAUUGUGU